Molecule: long non-coding RNA, 283 nt
Filed under: Phaseolus vulgaris (common bean)
Lineage: Eukaryota; Viridiplantae; Streptophyta; Magnoliopsida; Fabales; Fabaceae
Description: long non-coding RNA (PVUL_LNC001571)
Source: RNAcentral
GGGUUGUGCCUCAAGCCUCGUAUUUAACCUAAUUGGCUUGGACUAAGUGACUUCUCGCUUAGGCAUUAUUGGGCUCGCCUGGGCGAGUUGCACAAAAAAAGGCCCAACGUCAUUGGUGUAAUCUCGCCUGGGGGAGAUCCUUUGGGGCGUCUAGCUUAAGCGAGUUUGGGCGAGCUUUGGUGAGUGUUGGUGUGUUCCUACUUUCCAUUUUUAGCUUUGUAUAUUAUUCUUUUGCCCAAUCAUCUCCAUUCUUCCAUAGAAUCUUGAAAUUAACACAAAUUUG